Coffea eugenioides is the source of this 107-nucleotide small nucleolar RNA. The record is from RefSeq and is a predicted model, not a curated record. NCBI's taxonomy places the organism in Eukaryota, Viridiplantae, Streptophyta, Magnoliopsida, Gentianales, Rubiaceae.
AUCUGGUGUUGAGGGCAUUUAGUACAUAGUUUCUUGAAUCUCUCCUAGUAAUCAUAGAGAGAUUCCCCAGGAUGUUGUUUAAUGCCACAUAUUUCCUUCCUCAGACU